UUUCUUUUAGAGGAUUGCAAUUCAAAAACAUUAAGGUUGGUUCUAGGAUCAUUAAUUGUUUUUAAUGCUUUCAAUGUGCAGGUCAAUUCAAAAUCUGCAGAAAAGGCCGAAUAGAACUUCAGCAACAAUAGACACUAGAUUUCAGGUCAAUCACAUUCAAUUCAAACAAGCAGAAACAAACAAGGAUAAGUUCAUCAACUCAAGCAAG
Molecule: long non-coding RNA, 208 nt
Filed under: Nicotiana benthamiana
Lineage: Eukaryota; Viridiplantae; Streptophyta; Magnoliopsida; Solanales; Solanaceae
Description: long non-coding RNA (NBEN_LNC002873)
Source: RNAcentral